Arvicanthis niloticus (Nile rat) is the source of this 659-nucleotide long non-coding RNA. RefSeq lists it as uncharacterized. Lineage: Eukaryota; Metazoa; Chordata; Mammalia; Rodentia; Muridae. The record is from RefSeq and is a predicted model, not a curated record.
UACGCAUCCUUUGAAGGCAUCCUCUGAGUACAAGCUGGCUAUACCUUUGAUCCCAAUCGAAGAAUGGGUGGCUGCCAGGCUGAUUCAUCUGUGACCUGAAGGAAUCCCCGCCCUUGGCCUCCUAGCAAUACACCUGAGCUGUCUCUUGUUCUUGCCAGAUCUGUCAUAUCUUUAUUGGCUUUCCUAAUGACUUCUGUUGUUGGAAGUCAUUCAUUGCACUUGCUGCCUGAAACCUGAUGAGCCUCUGAGGCAGGGAAGGAAGACCUCUGGGCCCCAAAAAGAGUCUGGAAACGCCCUGACAGACAUGUCCAGAGGUUUGUCUUCUCAACGACUCCACAUCCUGCAAUGUUAACGGUGUUAAACCAUCUCACAUUUGAACCAAGAGAAGGAGUGAGUGAGUGAUUGGUCUCCGUGACAGGAAGCAGUGAAGCCAGUGCUGUGUGCAUUCCUAUGAUGAGACGGGGCAAGAAGCUUACCUGGAAACUCAAGGCCUAGCUACAAUGGAGCGUGGAACAGACCUGCACACAAAAGAGACCUUGUAUCGGCAAGAUGGAAGGUGUCAAAUGUGUGCAUCUCACGAACAUUCAGAUUGGCCUAAGGUGGCUCACAUCGUCUUAUUGCUGGGCUCUAAUUCCUUCCCUGACAACUUGUCACGUUAA